UCCGGGCUCGACCUCCCACCCUUCUGUCGUCCGACCGCGUUGCUUCGGGGCCGCCUGCGGGCGCCCCGGAGGGCCGUCAACUCUGCAUCACUGCGUCUGAGUACAUUUUCAAUAACAUGAAAACUUUCAACAACGGAUCUCUUGGUUCUGGCAUCGAUGAAGAACGCAGCGAAAUGCGAUAAGUAAUGUGAAUUGCAGAAUUCAGUGAAUCAUCGAAUCUUUGAACGCACAUUGCGCCCUCUGGUAUUCCGGGGGGCAUGCCUGUUCGAGCGUCAUUGNCACCAAUCCAGCCCGGCUGGGUGUUGGGCGCCGCGGCUUCUGGCCGCCCGCCCCAAUGUCGCCGGCCACGCCGUCCGUCCCCUCGCGUUGUGGCAUCUGUCUCGCGUCGGUGGCCGGUCGGAGUGCGCCGUCCAACCUCUUUUUUCAGGU
Molecule: ribosomal RNA, 429 nt
Filed under: Ramularia rumicis-crispi
Lineage: Eukaryota; Fungi; Ascomycota; Dothideomycetes; Mycosphaerellales; Mycosphaerellaceae
Description: eukaryotic LSU rRNA
Rfam family: 5.8S ribosomal RNA (bases 122-275)
Source: RNAcentral